RNAcentral lists this ribosomal RNA (1338 nucleotides) under uncultured bacterium. Its description in RNAcentral is "bacterial SSU rRNA". It matches the Rfam family "Bacterial small subunit ribosomal RNA", at positions 28 to 1387 of the family's 1533-position model. The record is from RNAcentral.
GACGAACGCUGGCGGCGCGCCUAACACAUGCAAGUCGAACGAGCGAGAGAGAGCUUGCUUUCUCGAGCGAGUGGCGAACGGGUGAGUAACGCGUGAGGAACCUGCCUCAAAGAGGGGGACAACAGUUGGAAACGACUGCUAAUACCGCAUAAGCCCACGGUGCCGCAUGGCACAGAGGGAAAAGGAGCAAUCCGCUUUGAGAUGGCCUCGCGUCCGAUUAGCUAGUUGGUGAGGUAACGGCCCACCAAGGCGACGAUCGGUAGCCGGACUGAGAGGUUGAACGGCCACAUUGGGACUGAGACACGGCCCAGACUCCUACGGGAGGCAGCAGUGGGGAAUAUUGCACAAUGGGGGAAACCCUGAUGCAGCGACGCCGCGUGGAGGAAGAAGGUCUUCGGAUUGUAAACUCCUGUUGUUGGGGAAGAUAAUGACGGUACCCAACAAGGAAGUGACGGCUAACUACGUGCCAGCAGCCGCGGUAAAACGUAGGUCACAAGCGUUGUCCGGAAUUACUGGGUGUAAAGGGAGCGCAGGCGGGAAGACAAGUUGGAAGUGAAAUCUAUGGGCUCAACCCAUAAACUGCUUUCAAAACUGUUUUUCUUGAGUAGUGCAGAGGUAGGCGGAAUUCCCGGUGUAGCGGUGGAAUGCGUAGAUAUCGGGAGGAACACCAGUGGCGAAGGCGGCCUACUGGGCACCAAUUGACGCUGAGGCUCGAAAGUGUGGGUAGCAAACAGGAUUAGAUACCCUGGUAGUCCACACCGUAAACGAUGAUUACUAGGUGUUGGAGGAUUGACCCCUUCAGUGCCGCAGUUAACACAAUAAGUAAUCCACCUGGGGAGUACGACCGCAAGGUUGAAACUCAAAGGAAUUGACGGGGGCCCGCACAAGCAGUGGAGUAUGUGGUUUAAUUCGACGCAACGCGAAGAACCUUACCAAGUCUUGACAUCCCUUGACAGGCAUAGAAAUAUGUUUUCUCUUCGGAGCAAGGAGACAGGUGGUGCAUGGUUGUCGUCAGCUCGUGUCGUGAGAUGUUGGGUUAAGUCCCGCAACGAGCGCAACCCUUAUGGUCAGUUACUACGCAAGAGGACUCUGGCCAGACUGCCGUUGACAAAACGGAGGAAGGUGGGGAUGACGUCAAAUCAUCAUGCCCUUUAUGACUUGGGCUACACACGUACUACAAUGGCGUUAAACAAAGAGAAGCAAGACCGCGAGGUGGAGCAAAACUCAGAAACAACGUCCCAGUUCGGACUGCAGGCUGCAACUCGCCUGCACGAAGUCGGAAUUGCUAGUAAUCGUGGAUCAGCAUGCCACGGUGAAUACGUUCCCGGGCCUUGCACA